This 209-nucleotide long non-coding RNA is filed under the name Setaria italica (foxtail millet). RNAcentral's name for it is "long non-coding RNA (SITA_LNC004457)". The record is from RNAcentral. Lineage: Eukaryota; Viridiplantae; Streptophyta; Magnoliopsida; Poales; Poaceae.
GGGAGUUUGGUGCGUGCGCGCUGUUGCGGACUUGCGGAGUUGCGGUGUUGCCGUGGUGGGCCGUGGGGGACUCGCACGUACGGGCACGACCGAGAGCAGCAGCCGGCCGACGCGAACGACUGCUGUAACCUAGCACCACCAACUGAGACGUGGGGCCAGGCACCCUGGGCCCGCGUGUCGGUGGUACUGUGUGAAGGGUUCUCUUUUAG